This 435-nucleotide ribosomal RNA is filed under the name Triticum aestivum (bread wheat). RNAcentral describes it as "partial small subunit ribosomal RNA". Lineage: Eukaryota; Viridiplantae; Streptophyta; Magnoliopsida; Poales; Poaceae. The record is from RNAcentral.
AUGCUUAGAGGAACAUUUGGGGUUGUACUUACAGAUGACAAAGGAAGAUUCAUUGUUGGCAGGGAAUUGGAGAAUGGGUUGGUGUGUGGAUGUCUUAACAACAGAAGUGUUGGCUCUAAGAUUGGCUUAUUACUUGAACAAAAGGUGGGAUGCAAUCUUAUUGUUGUUAACUCCGACAAUAUGGAAGUAAUUGACACAACGAAGAAUGGGGGACAUUCAGCGGGAGCAGCGGCAGCAGUGUUCGACGAUUACUAUUUUAUGGCAUGCGAUUUUCCACUUAUUAGUUUUGAACAUUUUAAUAGGGAAGAAAAUAAAGUUGCUCAUGAACUUGCUAGGUUAACUAAAUUUUCUAUGACAAGGGAUUGGUUUGAGGAACCUACGAAUGAUAUUGUAACUUUUAUUAUUGAUGAUGUAACUGUUAUUUUCAAUGAAUAA